GCCUUCUGGAUUUUGUACCAUGAACAUGAAAAUCUAUGCAAUGUUAAUGACUUCACUUCAGUAGAGGAGACCAUUAAAAUCUGAAAUAAAAGGGCCUAGGAAUGCAGCUCAGGGGUAGAGCGCUUGCCCAGCAUGGGGGAGGAGGCCCCGGGACCACCCCAGCACUAUAAAGAAAGACCCCUCCUGACUCCACUGGCACUAAUCUUCCGACCAUGGACCACUUGCUUGCACCCUUUAAGCCUCAGCUCACUCAUCUACAAAGUGGGGAGGUGCAUCGCAGCACCUGCUUAGAAAGAGAGUUAAUAGCCAAUGCUCAGAAAGCAUCAGCAGUCACAACGGCCACCAGCAGGGCUUGGUAAACAUGAGUGACAGUCAUCUCUUUGUCCACCUUCUCCAUGGAACUCUGAGCCCCUGGACAGUAAGAACUAUAAUAUUCAACUCUGGAUCCCAGAACCUGGGCCAGCUCCCAGCAUGAUAGCUCCCUGACGUCUAUGGGGUGCCAGGCACAGGCCCCAAGGCGGCCAGCACCACUGUCUUCCCAGCCCUAACCCCAUCUCAUCCUCAAAGGUGAUGACACCCUCUGACAGCUCUGGCCUGGACACACUCCACUGGACACACACACACUUUUCGCAAACUCGUCUCAUCCUUCAAGACUGCUUCUGGGCAUAGGCCUCCCCCUGCUCAGGCCACAUAGUACAGACUUCUGAGCAUCUCAUCCCAGGCUGUAUUGUCAGCUACUUACUAUACACACACACACACACACACACACACACACACACACACACACACCCCCUGCUCCAGAAGCUCCAGGGCACCAGGCUGCUCUGUGUUUCUGCAGGCCCAGUGCUUAGCAUGGAGCAGGCACUCUGAGAACAUUCCCUGGAUGAAGAAAUGAAUGGAUGUACAGACCACUCCUGACCACACAGCCACCGGCAGCCUUCAAGGAUCAGAUCUGGUGAGUCACUCAUGCCCUGCAAAUGCCAUGCAGCAAAAGCAGUGACCUCCUCUCUUUGCAUCUCUCUCACCAGCUCCAACCCAGAAGCUGCACCUCUCAGCCUUACGCACCCUGAGAGCCUCCUGGCUGCAGCUCGCACCCUCCCACACUGCAGCUUCAGAGGGGCUGAGCGGCCUGCAGGGAGCUCCCCACCUCCUCUCCAUGUCGCAGAGGUCUGCUGAAGCCCUUGGACAGGAGCUGGCCUAGGAGUGGGGACAGAGCCCUCACAAAGAAAUAGUGGCAGGAAGAGACAGUCCACCACCUACGGACACCAAACCCCAGCUUCCAGCAGAAGAAAACGUGGGGCACAUAGAAGGAGCCAAGGGGAGGCCUGGCUAUUGCUCAUCCUGUUGAAACAGUCAAACACUCUGUAAACUAGCUAAAUGGUUCCAAAGGAAAUGGGAAUCUAUUUUGUCUCCUGUCACCAGGGCUGCAAAUCCUGAUAUAUCUCAGGCACAGCAGAGAGGCGGAUGGCUCAGCACUUGGAGAGAUGCCUGUGUGCGGCAGGAAGUGGGGUGGAUGGCUCAACAGGUCCCCCUCUAUUCUGAGAGCCAGUCCUGUGAUGGCUGAGUGUACAGCCAGCUGAAAUAAAAAAUAACUUUGAACGCCAA
Ictidomys tridecemlineatus (thirteen-lined ground squirrel) is the source of this 1605-nucleotide non-coding RNA. Lineage: Eukaryota; Metazoa; Chordata; Mammalia; Rodentia; Sciuridae. The record is from RefSeq and is a predicted model, not a curated record.